GUGCUCGCUUGGUCAGUACAUACAAUAAAAUUGGAACGAUACACAGAAGAUUAGCAUGGCCCUGCACCGGGAACACCCACAAACUCGUGAAGCGUUCUCUAUUUUA
Suricata suricatta (meerkat) is the source of this 106-nucleotide small nuclear RNA. The record is from Ensembl. Lineage: Eukaryota; Metazoa; Chordata; Mammalia; Carnivora; Herpestidae.